GUUCGUCUUCGAAUGGACGAACGCUUCAUUGGAGCAGAUAUGAUUUACUGGGAAAAUCCACUUGUAUAGCUGAGGUAAUUCUGGUGCUAAUGCAUGCGACUAAACGGCGACUCUUGAAAAGGUGCAAUUAUCGGAGUAAAUCAAUCAUUUUCGGAUGUACCACCAUUCUACGAGUGUUAUAGUAAAACGGUCAUCAUAGAAUAAUAAAAGAGAACUUCGGUUCUAUUUAUUGGCUUGGGACCUGAAAUAAUGGUAAAGAGGGACAAUUCGGCGAGAUCUGUAUCCCUGCACGGGAGGAGAAAUUCGUGAACAGCAGGGAGACGGCCUAAAGCGAAUUCAUUUGUCAGAAAUGCAUUCAUUGAACAAGAGCGAAAGUCAGAGGUACGAAGACAAUUAGAUGCCGCAUUAGUUCUAAUCGCAUAUUGUGCAAUCUAACAAUUCGAUGGGUAUUGCUGUUCUGUAGAGGUGGUCAACGGAAACGAAAAUAUUUCGGAU
Molecule: non-coding RNA, 495 nt
Filed under: Angiostrongylus costaricensis
Lineage: Eukaryota; Metazoa; Nematoda; Chromadorea; Rhabditida; Metastrongylidae
Description: Eukaryotic small subunit ribosomal RNA
Rfam family: Eukaryotic small subunit ribosomal RNA
Source: Rfam by way of RNAcentral